GGGCUGGCAGACGUGUGUGUUUGCCUAACAGCACGUCUGUGUGGUGCAUUGUGGGUCUUCUGAAAGCUGUGCGAUUUGGCGGGGAGCUGGACAGCCCUGGAGUCUGUUUUGGGCGUGGUGUUUCCCUGCGGCCGCCAUUGCUGAACUCGGCUGCAUGUACUUUUCCUCCGCUGCCAGUGCGCAGUCAUCAGCUGCAGCUGAUCCUGGGCUUACUGCUGUUUGGCUCCCUUUUCUGGAUGUGCUGGGCACUUAAUCAGCUCCUGCUCCUCAGAGCACUCUUCUACCCCGGUGUCCUGACGGACAGGCCGAGCUCGUCCAGCAGCGUGGUCCACCUGCAGGAGGCUGAGGAGCAUGUUUAAGGGCCGGACUCGGUGCUGGGGGCUCUGGAGCGGCAGCGGUUCCCUGGUGGUGGUCCCUUUUUCACUUUGUUUGCCGUGUCACGGGUGCUGUGUUUUUGGAUCCUUCCACUUUUCUGUUACCGCUGUCAUGGUGAGCCCCAGCCCUGUCCAGUUCAGGUUUCUUUGGCAGGCCUCAACACCUCCUUAAUUUUGAGUUAGUCUGCUGCUUUUAACUUUUAGGAUUUAAUAAAGAUUGUUUUAAUUUGAAAUCACGUCCUUGGUUCCAGUGGAUCAUUUGAAC
Salarias fasciatus (jewelled blenny) is the source of this 639-nucleotide long non-coding RNA. NCBI's taxonomy places the organism in Eukaryota, Metazoa, Chordata, Actinopteri, Blenniiformes, Blenniidae. The record is from Ensembl.